RNAcentral lists this ribosomal RNA (484 nucleotides) under uncultured bacterium. RNAcentral describes it as "partial 16S ribosomal RNA". It matches the Rfam family "Bacterial small subunit ribosomal RNA", at positions 30 to 507 of the family's 1533-position model. The record is from RNAcentral.
AUUGAACGCUGGCGGCAGGCCUAACACAUGCAAGUCGAGCGGAUGAAGGGAGCUUGCUCCUGGAUUCAGCGGCGGACGGGUGAGUAAUGCCUAGGAAUCUGCCUGGUAGUGGGGGAUAACGUCCGGAAACGGGCGCUAAUACCGCAUACGUCCUGAGGGAGAAAGUGGGGGAUCUUCGGACCUCACGCUAUCAGAUGAGCCUAGGUCGGAUUAGCUAGUUGGUGGGGUAAAGGCCUACCAAGGCGACGAUCCGUAACUGGUCUGAGAGGAUGAUCAGUCACACUGGACCUGAGACACGGUCCAGACUCCUACGGGAGGCAGCAGUGGGGAAUAUUGGACAAUGGGCGAAAGCCUGAUCCAGCCAUGCCGCGUGUGUGAAGAAGGUCUUCGGAUUGUAAAGCACUUUAAGUGGGGAGGAAGGGCAGUAAGUUAAUACCUUGCUGUUUUGACGUUACCAACAGAAUAAGCACCGGCUAACUUCGUG